CCACGUUUAAUCGGACCACCCGCUCAAUCAGACCAGUUUGGCUUGGUCUUGAUGUGGUCUGAUUAAGCGGG
This 71-nucleotide microRNA precursor is filed under the name Ciona intestinalis (vase tunicate). RNAcentral describes it as "miRNA (ENSCING00000017978.1)". Lineage: Eukaryota; Metazoa; Chordata; Ascidiacea; Phlebobranchia; Cionidae. The record is from RNAcentral.